AAUAAUUCUAGUACCAAAUAGUCAUAUUAAUUCAUUUUCAAGCAAUUAACCCAUCAACGAAAUUAUCUUGUAAAAACAAAAACAUUAACCCACCUUCUCCCACCUCUGAGCAAACCCCUUCUCCCACCUCUGAUCUCCCCCCUUUCUCAAAAGAGAGGGGGGAGACAAGCUUUUUCUCUCUUCUCCCUUUCAUGUCUUUUUCCACCGUUCUGUCGUCUUAGAUCCUCACCCGCAACUCCUUAUCUCUCCACUUCUUUUUGCCUCCUGAAACUUAUACGAUUUUUUCUUAUUUCUUUUAUGGUCGUGAUUCCGUUGCUCCUUUUCGGGUUCAGAGGAGGGGAAGAGAGCUUCUCGCCACUUUUCCUUAUCGCCGUAUGGCCUCGCCCGCAGAUCAAGAAGCUUUUUCGAUUUCGUUUUGAGUUACUUUCAGAUUUAACUAAUUUUCUUCCCAUUUGAGGAUGGAAAACUAGGGAUUUAAUCUAGAAGGAAAAUCAGGAGGUUAUAUCGUCGGAUGACAAAUGCAAUCUAGGAAAUGAAAGAGGAAAUGUGAUGGGUUACUAGAUGGAAAAGGUGAUUGAAGAAAAAGAUGACAGUUGCAGGGAUGGAAAAAAACGACAGUUGCAAGGAUAGAAAAAGAUGAAGACAAGUGAAGACACGUAUUGAAACUCUCUAAAGGUUCUAAAAGUUUCAGGCGGGAGUUAUUUCAACCUGGAAACGCGAUCCGAAGUUGGUCAUAGAUCGACAUGAUGGAGAUUCACACUAUGUUUUCAGUUUUUUUCGUUUAUCAUUAUUUUUUUUAUCCUUUGUACUCUUUUAAUUUUAUUUUAUAAAAAUCGCCUUUAAAAAAAAAAAAAAAAAAAAAAAAAAAAUUAUCUUGUAUACCUACUACUAACCAAAUCAUUCAAGAAUAAAUGCUGUCUUCCCUAUUCAUAACACAAUGAACCAACCUAAAGAACCAAGA
RNAcentral lists this long non-coding RNA (961 nucleotides) under Zostera marina. RNAcentral describes it as "long non-coding RNA (ZMAR_LNC000032)". The record is from RNAcentral. Lineage: Eukaryota; Viridiplantae; Streptophyta; Magnoliopsida; Alismatales; Zosteraceae.